AGAGUUUGAUCCUGGCUCAGGAUGAACGCUGGCGGCGUGCUUAACACAUGCAAGUCGAACGAUGAUCCCAGCUUGCUGGGGGAUUAGUGGCGAACGGGUGAGUAACACGUGAGUAACCUGCCCUUAACUCUGGGAUAAGCCUGGGAAACUGGGUCUAAUACCGGAUAUGACUCCUCAUCGCAUGGUGGGGGGUGGAAAGCUUUAUUGUGGUUUUGGAUGGACUCGCGGCCUAUCAGCUUGUUGGUGAGGUAAUGGCUCACCAAGGCGACGACGGGUAGCCGGCCUGAAAGGGUGACCGGCCACACUGGGACUGAGACACGGCCCAGACUCCUACGGGAGGCAGCAGUGGGGAAUAUUGCACAAUGGGCGAAAGCCUGAUGCAGCGACGCCGCGUGAGGGAUGACGGCCUUCGGGUUGUAAACCUCUUUCAGUAGGGAAGAAGCGAAAGUGACGGUACCUGCAGAAGAAGCGCCGGCUAACUACGUGCCAGCAGCCGCGGUAAUACGUAGGGCGCAAGCGUUAUCCGGAAUUAUUGGGCGUAAAGAGCUCGUAGGCGGUUUGUCGCGUCUGCCGUGAAAGUCCGGGGCUCAACUCCCGGAUCUGCGGUGGGUACGGGCAGACUAGAGUGAUGUAGGGGAGACUGGAAUUCCUGGUGUAGCGGUGAAAUGCGCAGAUAUCAGGAGGAACACCGAUGGCGAAGGCAGGUCUCUGGGCAUUAACUGACGCUGAGGAGCGAAAGCAUGGGGAGCGAACAGGAUUAGAUACCCUGGUAGUCCAUGCCGUAAACGUUGGGCACUAGG
RNAcentral lists this ribosomal RNA (800 nucleotides) under uncultured bacterium. RNAcentral's name for it is "bacterial SSU rRNA". It matches the Rfam family "Bacterial small subunit ribosomal RNA", at positions 8 to 820 of the family's 1533-position model. The record is from RNAcentral.